AUUUUUUGGCAAUCUCCCUUCCAACAGCCUCCAAAUCUGAGGGUAUUGAUGCUCCUCCAUUUCCAAAAACUCGUUCUCUGAUAAUAAACCAGCAUUCAUCAUUCAAUAGUUCUCCUAUUUUGUGCCUGCAAUGAAGAGGAGUCUCCACCAUGGAUGCCACCUGCUCGCUGCGAGUUGUAACAACAAUAGCGUUUCCUUUGUUCACACAAAUAGUUAACAAACGACUCUUCAAACUCUCCCACUUCUCAGAUUCCUCAUUCCACACAUCAUCAAGUAUGAGAAG
Molecule: unclassified non-coding RNA, 283 nt
Filed under: Hevea brasiliensis (rubber tree)
Lineage: Eukaryota; Viridiplantae; Streptophyta; Magnoliopsida; Malpighiales; Euphorbiaceae
Source: RNAcentral